GAUUCCGUAGCUCAGUUGGUAGAGCAAUACACUUUUAAUGUAUGGGCCCUGGGUUCGAGUCCCAGCGGAAUCACAA
This 76-nucleotide transfer RNA is filed under the name Chitinophaga japonensis. Its description in RNAcentral is "tRNA-Lys". It matches the Rfam family "tRNA". Rfam says of the family: Transfer RNA (tRNA) molecules are approximately 80 nucleotides in length. Their secondary structure includes four short double-helical elements and three loops (D, anti-codon, and T loops). Further hydrogen bonds mediate the characteristic L-shaped molecular structure. tRNAs have two regions of fundamental functional importance: the anti-codon, which is responsible for specific mRNA codon recognition, and the 3' end, to which the tRNAs corresponding amino acid is attached (by aminoacyl-tRNA synthetases). tRNAs cope with the degeneracy of the genetic code in two manners: having more than one tRNA (with a specific anti-codon) for a particular amino acid; and 'wobble' base-pairing, i.e. permitting non-standard base-pairing at the 3rd anti-codon position. Lineage: Bacteria; Pseudomonadati; Bacteroidota; Chitinophagia; Chitinophagales; Chitinophagaceae. The record is from RNAcentral.